Triplophysa rosa is the source of this 1058-nucleotide long non-coding RNA. RefSeq lists it as uncharacterized. The record is from RefSeq and is a predicted model, not a curated record. Lineage: Eukaryota; Metazoa; Chordata; Actinopteri; Cypriniformes; Nemacheilidae. The transcript has 5 exons.
UGAGAGAUAUUUUGUAGUUUGGCAUGAAUGUAAUGUAAUUGUACACAUAAUGAUGAAUAAGUGCUUCACCCUAUGAGUGUUGAUUUAUUAAACAUGUUUAUCCCCGUUUUGAUUCAAUUUACACAUGCCAAAAUAACCGUAAAUAAUAAAGAAUGAUAAGGUGUGUUAAGACUGAAGUUGUUGUGUUUUUGCCAGAUUUUCACCGUGAUGAGCAGCUGUGUGUGAUUUGCAGAGGAACAGAUUGAUUCAUUCUUCUGGAGAAAUACAAGGAUUAACAGAAAACUGCGGGAUGUUUCUUGAAGUGGAAAGAAACAUGAUACCAACGGAUCUGGGCAGUCGUGCUGGUGUCCGUGUGAGACUGAUCUGAGAACUGAGAUGGGGUUUGGAGUCCCUCAGUGAUCCACCUGUAGCGUGCCGUGAUGUUAAUGAGAGUCUGUGUGUCCUGGUGCGAGGUUGUAAAUUAAUUCUUCUCCUUUGAGCACAGGCUCCUCCGUCAGCAGUUUGACGUCCGUUCGGGACCGUCUGAUGUUCACAGAGACACAUCUCCAACAUCUUCACAUCUUCAAAGUCUCCAGCAUCUCCAUCCACAGCAAAUGGACUUUCACGCCAGCAAGUCAAUAUCACAUCUGAGGCCUCAUUUGUCAACGGCUGAACCAGCAGGACACAUUUGGUCCAGCAGCAUCAUCGGAGAUGACAUACUGGUGAACAGAACGGCUGUGAUGCUCCACCAGUUUGACCAGUAACAACCAACAUGAACCAGAAGAGAACCAGCGGGCCGGACCGUGGUAGCAGUAAGGUGAGACACAAAGACGAAUGGUGUAAAAUCGAAGACACUUGAAGAACAUUGAUCUAACAGCCACAGGAUGACAGCGGUAAGCAGUACAAAUGAUUCUGUGUGGAGGAAAGAGAACAUCGAUACUACACGCAGGCCAAGGUCACGGAGAAACCGCUUCAGCUCUUCUGAUCUACCGCACUUAUAGUUACACGUGAUAGUGGCAAAUAUUGGCAAAUUAGAGAGAGAGAGAGACUAAAGGUUGUCAUUGAGGAAUAGAUGGCGA